GAUCUUGGUCAGAACGAACGCUGGCGGCGCGUUUAAGCAUGCAAGUCGAGCGGCAAGGGCCUUCGGGCCCCUAGAGCGGCGGACGGGUGAGUAACACGUGGACAAUCUGCCCCCCGGCCCGGGAUAGCCCAGGGAAACCUGGAUUAAUACCGGAUGAGACGGGACCCGCGAUGGCGGGAUCCGGGAAAGGCGCUGCGGCGCCGCCGGGGGAUGAGUCUGCGUCCCAUUAGCUAGACGGCGGGGUAACGGCCCACCGUGGCGACGAUGGGUAGCCGGCCUGAGAGGGUGGACGGCCACAUUGGAACUGAGACACGGUCCAGACUCCUACGGGAGGCAGCAGCUAAGAAUCUUCCGCAAUGGGCGAAAGCCUGACGGAAGCGACGCCGCGUGAACGAAGAAGGCCGUGAGGUUGUAAAGUUCUUUUCGGGAGGGGGAACAACCGUGGCAGGGAAUGGCCGCGGGAUGACGUGAAUCCCGGAAUAAGCCCCGGCUAACUACGUGCCAGCCGCCGC
Molecule: ribosomal RNA, 512 nt
Filed under: uncultured bacterium
Lineage: Bacteria
Description: bacterial SSU rRNA
Rfam family: Bacterial small subunit ribosomal RNA
Source: RNAcentral